AGUAACGAUAAAGCGGGUGAAAAGCCCGCUCGCCGGAAGACCAAGGGUUCCUGUCCAACGUUAAUCGGGGCAGGGUGAGUCGACCCCUAAGGCGAGGCCGAAAGGCGUAGUCGAUGGGAAACAGGUUAAUAUUCCUGUACUUGGUGUUACUGCGAAGGGGGGACGGAGAAGGCUAUGUUGGCCGGGCGACGGUUGUCCCGGUUUAAGCGUGUAGGCUGGUUUUCCAGGCAAAUCCGGAAAAUCAAGGCUGAGGCGUGAUGACGAGGCACUACGGUGCUGAAGCAACAAAUGCCCUGCUUCCAGGAAAAGCCUCUAAGCAUCAGGUAACAUCAAAUCGUACCCCAAACCGACACAGGUGGUCAGGUAGAGAAUACCAAGGCGCUUGAGAGAACUCGGGUGAAGGAACUAGGCAAAAUGGUGCCGUAACUUCGGGAGAAGGCACGCUGAUAUGUAGGUGAAGCGACUUGCUCGUGGAGCUGAAAUCAGUCGAAGAUACCAGCUGGCUGCAACUGUUUAUUAAAAACACAGCACUGUGCAAACACGAAAGUGGACGUAUACGGUGUGACGCCUGCCCGGUGCCGGAA
RNAcentral lists this ribosomal RNA (584 nucleotides) under Escherichia coli. RNAcentral describes it as "partial 23S ribosomal RNA". It matches the Rfam family "Bacterial large subunit ribosomal RNA", at positions 1305 to 1874 of the family's 2925-position model. The record is from RNAcentral. Lineage: Bacteria; Pseudomonadati; Pseudomonadota; Gammaproteobacteria; Enterobacterales; Enterobacteriaceae.